RNAcentral lists this unclassified non-coding RNA (367 nucleotides) under uncultured bacterium. RNAcentral describes it as "contains 16S-23S intergenic spacer region". The record is from RNAcentral.
UCCCCGUUAACCGAGGCAGUCUCCUGUGACAAAAUUUAACACAGGACAAGGGUUGCGCUCGUUUGCGGACUUAACCGAACAUCUCACGACACGAGCUGACGACGGCCGUGCACCACCUGUCUUUAGGCUCCCUUGCGGGCACCCCCAACUUUCGAAGGGGUUCCUAAGAUGUCAAGCCCUGGUAAGGUUCUUCGCUUAAUGUCGAAUUAAACCUCAUGUUCCCCCGCUUGUGCGAGUCCCCGUCAAUUCCUUUGAGUUUUAGCCUUGCGGCCGUACUUCCCAGGCGGCAGACUUCACGCGUUAGCUUCGACACAGGGAGGGUCGAUACUCCCGAUGCCUAGUCUGCAUCGUUUACGGCGUGGACUAC